This 620-nucleotide ribosomal RNA is filed under the name uncultured bacterium. RNAcentral describes it as "bacterial SSU rRNA". It matches the Rfam family "Bacterial small subunit ribosomal RNA", at positions 202 to 842 of the family's 1533-position model. The record is from RNAcentral.
AAAAACUCCGGUGGUGUGAGAUGGAUCCGCGUCUGAUUAGCCAGUUGGCGGGGUAACGGCCCACCAAAGCGACGAUCAGUAGCCGGCCUGAGAGGGUGACCGGCCACAUUGGGACUGAGACACGGCCCAAACUCCUACGGGAGGCAGCAGUGGGGAAUAUUGCACAAUGGGCGAAAGCCUGAUGCAGCAACGCCGCGUGAGUGAAGAAGUAUUUCGGUAUGUAAAGCUCUAUCAGCAGGGAAGAAAAUGACGGUACCUGACUAAGAAGCCCCGGCUAACUACGUGCCAGCAGCCGCGGUAAUACGUAGGGGGCAAGCGUUAUCCGGAUUUACUGGGUGUAAAGGGAGCGUAGACGGCGAAGCAAGUCUGAAGUGAAAACCCAGGGCUCAACCCUGGGACUGCUUUGGAAACUGUUUUGCUGGAGUGUCGGAGAGGUAAGUGGAAUUCCUAGUGUAGCGGUGAAAUGCGUAGAUAUUAGGAGGAACACCAGUGGCGAAGGCGGCUUACUGGACGAUAACUGACGUUGAGGCUCGAAAGCGUGGGGAGCAAACAGGAUUAGAUACCCUGGUAGUCCACGCCGUAAACAAUGAAUGCUAGGUGUUGGGGGGCAAAGCCCUUCG